UAGGGAAUCUUCCACAAUGGGCGAAAGCCUGAUGGAGCAACGCCGCGUGUGUGAUGAAGGGUUCCGGCUCGUAAAACACUGUUGUAAGAGAAGAAUGACAUUGAGAGUAACUGUUCAAUGUGUGACGGUAUCUUACUAGAAAGGAACGGCUAAAUACGUGCCAG
Molecule: ribosomal RNA, 164 nt
Filed under: uncultured bacterium
Lineage: Bacteria
Description: partial 16S rRNA
Rfam family: Bacterial small subunit ribosomal RNA
Source: RNAcentral